AUUCUUUCUCUACGUGACUCUUCUAAUGGAUUGUUGUUUCCACUGCAUUUAUUGAUCUAAAACUUGUUGUCUAUUGUAUUCUAUUAGAUUUUUCCCUGUUGAAGACUAACGAUAAUUUGUUGUAUAUUAUCUUAGUCAUAAUAUUCUUUAUUGGGCUAGUUGAGCUCACCCUUUUCCUUUUUGUUCCAUUUUUCUUCUCAGGAGGUGAGAACAUAGCAGGAUCGAG
RNAcentral lists this long non-coding RNA (226 nucleotides) under Panax ginseng (ginseng). RNAcentral's name for it is "long non-coding RNA (PGIN_LNC018784)". Lineage: Eukaryota; Viridiplantae; Streptophyta; Magnoliopsida; Apiales; Araliaceae. The record is from RNAcentral.